Molecule: ribosomal RNA, 253 nt
Filed under: uncultured bacterium
Lineage: Bacteria
Description: partial 16S ribosomal RNA
Rfam family: Bacterial small subunit ribosomal RNA
Source: RNAcentral
UACGUAGGGGGCGAGCGUUGUCCGGAAUCAUUGGGCGUAAAGCGCGUGUAGGCGGCCCGGUAAGUCCGCUGUGAAAGUCCAGGGCUCAACCCUGGGAUGCCGGUGGAUACUGUCGGGCUCGAGUCCGGAAGAGGCGAGUGGAAUUCCUGGUGUAGCGGUGGAAUGCGCAGAUAUCAGGAGGAACACCGGUGGUGUAGACGGCUUACUGGACCACGACUGACACUGAGGCACGAAAGCGUGGGUAGCAAACAGG